Molecule: ribosomal RNA, 266 nt
Filed under: uncultured bacterium
Lineage: Bacteria
Description: partial 16S ribosomal RNA
Rfam family: Bacterial small subunit ribosomal RNA
Source: RNAcentral
GUCCUAGCCGUAAACGAUGGGCACUAGGUGUGGGAGGUAUCGACCCCUCCUGUGCCGCAGCUAACGCAUUAAGUGCCCCGCCUGGGGAGUACGGCCGCAAGGUUGAAACUCAAAGGAAUUGACGGGGGCCCGCACAAGCGGUGGAGCAUGUGGUUCAAUUCGACGCAACGCGAAGAACCUUACCAGGGCUUGACAUCCCACGAACCUUCCCGAAAGGGUCGGGUGCCCGCAAGGGAGCGUGGAGACAGGUGGUGCAUGGCUGUCGU